AUGGCACUGAAUUUGGGGCACCAAAAGGCUGAGAUGCCCCUCGAGAUAUUGAUGGUGCCUGUGGUGCUGGUGCAGCAGUUUGUGGGAGGAAGCUUUGCUGAGAUGCGUGUUGAGGUGGGAGAUGAGAAGACUGUGGAGGAACAUAGGAUGGUGGUGCUCCAUUCUGUGAAGCCGGUUGCAUAUAAAAGUUUGAUGGGCCUGAUGGUAGAUUUGGAGCUGCAUGUUGAGGUGGCUGUGGAGGAGCAAAUGAUGGUGCAGCAUGUUGAGGUGGCUGUGGAGGAGCAAAUGAUGGUGCAGCAUGUUGAGGUGGCUGUGGAGGAGCAAAUGAUGGCGCAGCAGCCUGAGAAAAUGAUGAUGGGUUCAUGGCUGCAGGAUAUGCUUGUGGCUGAGCAAACAUGGGAGCAGCAUGAGUAUUGGGUGCCACUGCUUGAGGAGCAUGAGUAA
Molecule: ribosomal RNA, 444 nt
Filed under: Triticum aestivum (bread wheat)
Lineage: Eukaryota; Viridiplantae; Streptophyta; Magnoliopsida; Poales; Poaceae
Description: partial small subunit ribosomal RNA
Source: RNAcentral